Mus spicilegus (steppe mouse) is the source of this 1602-nucleotide long non-coding RNA. The record is from Ensembl. NCBI's taxonomy places the organism in Eukaryota, Metazoa, Chordata, Mammalia, Rodentia, Muridae.
UUUCUCAUGUUACAUUCCUUCCUACUGAUCACUUCCUUGCUGGCUGUGUCCUUGUCGGCUUGGAUGCUUUUCUUGCUCACGCUGCUCUCUCCUGAAGGAAACUUAUCUAGGACCAUGACUUACUCACAUACUCUUUCAUAUCUUUAAUCAAAAUCUUGUAAAUGAAGUUUACUCUGGGUAUUCAAAACCAUUAAUGUUCCCUACACACUUAUCUUAUAGUUCUCAUUUCUACAGUUCAUGUUAAUAUUUAAAACUAAAACCUUUGCUUAUUUAACAUGGCUGUUUUUCUCUGAUGUGUUUGUCUUUGGCAGUCUCGCAGUGCUAAGUGAAAUUCUCCUGGGGUUCAAAGUAAAACAUGAAACACCUUCCUUUCAGGUACCAAUUUCAUCCAUGGCCAUUGGAGGGCUACAAGUGGUGCCCAAAUGAGAGGACUGAAAACGGGGUUGGUGUGGAGUGGGUGGAGCCCACUGAGAAACGCUGUCUUAGGUGGAGCUCCACAGAGAACAGAAAAAAGUUACAGUAUCCUGCAUGGGAUCGCUUUAUUCCCUGGGAUGUGCUGCUAUCUAACUCAGAUGCUUCUUGUUGGUACUGUUUACAUCAGAGAAAAGAAUAACACUGAAGCUUUGAAUCUAAAACUGUAGGAGAACUUAGCGGGAUUUGACCAAGAAGACUUUUAUGAGAUGUGCAGCAAAUCCCCACCGUGACAGGCGGCUUUGUUAUGAACACCUUCUUUAUAAACAGUCCUGGAAAUGCCCGGGUCACUUCUUCCAGAGUAGGUCACACAGCAUGGUAAUUCACUUUAUGUUGCUUCCCUUCUGGAGUUAAAAUUCCAUGUAAAGAAGAAAAUAGAUCCUAUGACAUCUGUACUCUUAAAACUGAUCUGUGUGCACUGGGGUUUUGUUUUGUUAUUUAUUUAUUUAUUUUUGGUUUUUUAGCUUGUUUUGUUUGCAAGAGGAGUAUGUAUUCUACAGGACUGUGACUAGCUAUUCUGAAUUUGGGUGGAGAGAAGCAUGUUCCAAUACGCCAUUCUUUCAGCAAACUUUUUUAUAACCAAAAUUAAAUAACUAUGUACAAAUUACAGAAGCUGACAGAAAAGUCUCUUACAUGUAGAAAUAUGGAUAAGAGUAGACACAGCAGGGGAUAAUAGGUGUGUAUGCUGAGUGCUUACAGCAGCUGGCCUGCCCUAGGCCACCCAACAAUCUUCCAGAUUCCCCCAUCACACCCUUCACUCCACCACCUACCCUGUGCUUAUGUUAAGACUCCCACUUUGCAACAAACUUAUCAGACAGGGCUUUUACACAGGUUGGGGAGGGCUUGGAUCACAGACAAAAGAAAGAGGGCAAGGGGGAUCUUUUUUGUUCAAGUUGGACAGAUUGCUAAUAUGCUUAGAACAAAAGGAAAUACGUGAUUGUAGUUUGUAAAAAAAAAAAACCAAAAAACCAAAACAACAAAACAUAAAAACAAAACCCAAUCCAUGCUAAAGUGGUUAGGGACAGGCAAGAUGAUCUUCGUAACCUCCAGUAGCCAGCCGCAUGCAGCACUCUUGCCCUGUUUCCCAUGGUUAGUUGCUGCCAGGCUGUUCAUACUUCUAAUGCCAUCCAC